Long non-coding RNA from Mauremys reevesii (Reeves's turtle), 1202 nucleotides. RefSeq lists it as uncharacterized. The transcript is spliced from 3 exons. NCBI's taxonomy places the organism in Eukaryota, Metazoa, Chordata, Testudines, Geoemydidae. The record is from RefSeq and is a predicted model, not a curated record.
UCUAGAGUGGUUUAUGGUACGGACAGCUCCUGGCUCUAGAGAUGGAGGGAUAACAUUUUCAAAGGCCCUUACAUGACUCAGGAGCCUAUGUCUCACUUCCAAAAGUGCCAUAUGCACUUUGGAGCCCAAGUCUCAUUGAAAGACAAUGGGAUUUAGGAGCCAAGUCACUUUAGAAAAUGGGACACAGGGGCCUUUGAAAAGUUUACCCUGGCCCUCCGUGCAGCUGUCCUGGGAUAGAUAUUUGAUCAGCAUUUCACUCACUCUUCCUGGUUGUCAGGCAGAGGAGCACAAUGCCUGUCUCAGGAGCACUCAGGAAAUGGACUGCUGGCCUGGAAGUCAUAGAGUCCACAGGUCCCGCCAUGGAGCCCUUUUCCCAUCCAGCAGCCAGUCAGGAAUCACCACUUUAACCUGUGACCUCUUCUAGAGAUGACAAGACUCUCCUGGACACCUGAAAUCCCUGGUUACUGUAAGAAUUGGACCAUUAAGGAGAAUGACUAAGCAGUGUGGGUUUGCCAACACCUCCCCUGCCAGAUACCGAAAAUAAUGAAUGUGAACUGAAUGACAUUCUCAGCAUCCAUAAGGCCAGGGCCUCAGAUUCUAAAUCUGUUGCCAGGUAAACAGCUAAUAUUCCAUAUAGCCGCAAAAGAGCAAGGUGAAUUCUAUUCUGCCUCAAGCAUCAACAAUUAUGUUCUAACUCCAGCAGAAAGAACACAAGACUGAUUUGCUAGAUCCAGACUGAAACAUUUUGUUUCAACUAUUAAACUGAGCAGAUUUGCUAUGAGAAUCACUGCUGGAUAGUAUUUGAAUAGGUGAGAUCUCACGCUCAGUCUUUCUGGGGAUCAUUUCAAUUUCAUGAAAAGGUGAAGAUUCAUGUAGUUUGUACCAUGGUCCUUGGGAAGAAUCUUGCAUUCUCUCCUUUGUUUUCUGUUCAUCCUUAACUGUUGUAUCCUCCUCAUCUUCAGUGGAGCUGUCAUUCAAGCUAUGAAGCAAAGAGAUCUGAUUACCGGCCACCUCUGUUCACGGUCACAAUAUUAACAACCAGCCUGGGGUAUUUAUCCACAAUGUGCUGUCUUAGUCAUGCCUGAGAUGCAAGUUUAAAACAAUGGGAUGUUAAAGAAAAUAUAUGGAGUCAGAUCUGCAGCUGAUAUCAACUGGCACAGCUCCACGGACUUCACUAGAGCUAGGUUUACACAAGCUGAGGA